This 757-nucleotide ribosomal RNA is filed under the name uncultured Pseudomonadota bacterium. Its description in RNAcentral is "bacterial SSU rRNA". It matches the Rfam family "Bacterial small subunit ribosomal RNA", at positions 9 to 758 of the family's 1533-position model. Lineage: Bacteria; Pseudomonadati; Pseudomonadota. The record is from RNAcentral.
GAGUUUGAUCCUGGCUCAGAAUGAACGCUGGCGGCGUGCCUAACACAUGCAAGUCGAGCGGUAACAGGUGUAGCAAUACAUGCUGACGAGCGGCGAACGGGUGAGUAAUGCUUCGGAAUCUGCCCAAUGGUGGGGAAUAACCAGCCGAAAGGUUGGCUAAUACCGCAUGAGCCCUACGGGGGAAAGCAGGGGAUCGUAAGACCUUGCGCCGAUGGAUGAGCCGAAGUCGGAUUAGCUAGUUGGUAGGGUAACGGCCUACCAAGGCGACGAUCCGUAGCUGGUCUGAGAGGACGACCAGCCACACUGGGACUGAGACACGGCCCAGACUCCUACGGGAGGCAGCAGUGGGGAAUAUUGGACAAUGGGGGAAACCCUGAUCCAGCGACGCCGCGUGUGUGAAGAAGGCCUGCGGGUUGUAAAGCACUUUUAGUGGGGAUGAAAAGCUCAGGGCUAACACCUCUGAGUCUUGACCUAACCCACAGAAAAAGCACCGGCUAACUCUGUGCCAGCAGCCGCGGUAAUACAGAGGGUGCAAGCGUUAAUCGGAAUUACUGGGCGUAAGGCGUGCGUAGACGGUUAUGUAAGUCGGGUGUGAAAGCCCCGGGGCUCAACCUGGGAAUUGCAUUCGAGACUGCAUAGCUAGGGUGCGGAAGAGGGAAGCGGAAUUUCCGGUGUAGCGGUGAAAUGCGUAGAUAUCGGAGGGAACACCAGUGGCGGAAGCGGCUUCCUGGUCAACACCAACGUUUCAGGCACCGAA